This 529-nucleotide ribosomal RNA is filed under the name uncultured bacterium. RNAcentral describes it as "bacterial SSU rRNA". It matches the Rfam family "Bacterial small subunit ribosomal RNA", at positions 777 to 1304 of the family's 1533-position model. The record is from RNAcentral.
AAUAGAUACCCGGGUAGUCCACGCCGUAAACGAUGAGUGCUAAGUGUUAGAGGGUUUCCGCCCUUUAGUGCUGCAGCUAACGCAUUAAGCACUCCGCCUGGGGAGUACGGUCGCAAGACUGAAACUCAAAGGAAUUGACGGGGGCCCGCACAAGCGGUGGAGCAUGUGGUUUAAUUCGAAGCAACGCGAAGAACCUUACCAGGUCUUGGCAUCCUCUGACAACUCUAGAGAUAGAGCGUUCCCCUUCGGGGGACAGAGUGACAGGUGGUGCAUGGUUGUCGUCAGCUCGUGUCGUGAGAUGUUGGGUUAAGUCCCGCAACGAGCGCAACCCUUGAUCUUAGUUGCCAGCAUUUAGUUGGGCACUCUAAGGUGACUGCCGGUGACAAACCGGAGGAAGGUGGGGAUGACGUCAAAUCAUCAUGCCCCUUAUGACCUGGGCUACACACGUGCUACAAUGGAUGGUACAAAGGGCUGCAAGACCGCGAGGUCAAGCCAAUCCCAUAAAACCAUUCUCAGUUCGGAUUGUAGG